This 301-nucleotide ribosomal RNA is filed under the name uncultured bacterium. RNAcentral's name for it is "partial 16S ribosomal RNA". It matches the Rfam family "Bacterial small subunit ribosomal RNA", at positions 509 to 807 of the family's 1533-position model. The record is from RNAcentral.
CAGUCGCCGCGGGAAUACGGAGGGAGCUAGCGUUGUUCGGAAUUACUGGGCGUAAAGCGCACGUAGGCGGCUUUGUAAGUUAGAGGUGAAAGCCUGGAGCUCAACUCCAGAAUUGCCUUUAAGACUGCAUCGCUUGAAUCCGGGAGAGGUGAGUGGAAUUCCGAGUGUAGAGGUGAAAUUCGUAGAUAUUCGGAAGAACACCAGUGGCGAAGGCUGCUCACUGGACCGGCAUUGACGCUGAGGUGCGAAAGCGUGGGGAGCAAACAGGAUUAGAUACCCGCGUAGUCCCUGUCUCUUAUAC